This 253-nucleotide ribosomal RNA is filed under the name uncultured bacterium. RNAcentral's name for it is "partial 16S ribosomal RNA". It matches the Rfam family "Bacterial small subunit ribosomal RNA", at positions 524 to 776 of the family's 1533-position model. The record is from RNAcentral.
UACGGGGGGGGUAAGCGUUGUUCGGAAUUACUGGGCGUAAAGGGCUCGUAGGCGGCCAACUAAGUCAGACGUGAAAUCCCUCAGCUUAACUGGUGAACUGCGUCUGAUACUGGAUGGCUUGGAUCCGGGAGAGGGAUGCGGAAUUCCAGGUGUAGCGGUGAAAUGCGUAGAUAUCUGGAGGAACACCGGUGGCGAAGGCGGCAUCCUGGACCGGUAUUGACGCUGAGGAGCGAAAGCCAGGGGAGCAAACGGG